UGAAAACUUAUCAUACGUAAUCAUUAAUAAGAUAAGUCACUCUCAUCAAAUUAUUAUCAAUUAAAGUCCAACAACACAAUAGCUCUCACCUAUCUCUCCUUUCCCCAGUGCCGUCAAAUCACAGGAAUUAUUACACUAAAAUUUAUGGACAUGUUUAAAACUAGAGAGAAAUCUUGUUACGUAAUUAUUAAUUAAUCUAAUAAUCAGUCGGACAUGGUAAAAGAAUAAGAUCAGUCGGUAGGAGUCAAAAGAGUCGAGUGCGAAGGGAAAUGGACCGACCGGCUGUGCGACCGAAUUAUUAAUAUUAUUGUCAUGGAGAGGUCGUGCGAAUUUUGGUGUACAAAAGUUAAUCGUCUCAACGGUGAUGACGUAGACGAGAGGGGUUAUUACUAUUUAUUAUGGAUAAACUGCAUUCCCCAAAAGGAUGAAGAAGCAUAUGAGCGGAUGUACAUAUGUAGUAUGAAAUAAUGAUCUUGUAAGCGGUGGUGAUAAAUGCAUAGUCUCCAAUAGGUAAUUUUGUACCUGAGCCUCCUCCGACGAUCGGUAAACCCGGCAGGUUCCAUGUUGUGUUUGCCUCCAGUGGAUCCCCCUCCGUCCAUCAAAUUGAAGGAACCACCGAAUUUGUCGUGGGGGACGUCGGCCUUGUCGGACGAUUCCUCGACCAAACUUAGGCUGUCGUCCUCAUCCCCUACGAUGAAGCUCACUCGAUCUUCUCCUUCCACCUCACCUGAAAUAAUUUUACAAAUUCAGUCAAUUUGUAACUUAUGGGGUUAUGUAUUUAGGAAAUAACAACAUAAUAUGUAAAUAUGUAUAAUAUUUAACUAUUUUUCAUUAAUUUAGCCUUGAAACAAGGCGAGUAAGUUUGUUAAUUUAGUAAAUAAACGUAUGUCCAUUAAUAGUCCGGAGAGUCAAGAAAUAC
This is a long non-coding RNA of Folsomia candida, 919 nucleotides long. RefSeq lists it as uncharacterized. The transcript is spliced from 3 exons. The record is from RefSeq and is a predicted model, not a curated record. Lineage: Eukaryota; Metazoa; Arthropoda; Collembola; Entomobryomorpha; Isotomidae.